UUUCUUUCUAAAGAGAAAUGGCUUUUGUGGUUAACAGAUUACUGGCGAGUUGGGUAGUGUACAAGAUGCUUUAUAUAAUGUGACUGGUAGAUUGCGAGAUAAUAACCUCUUUACCGGUAGAAUAUCAAAUGGAGCUGGAACUAGGAGCAGUUCUUCUGUAAUAACUGAGAUGAAUCCCUAUGAAAGAGCAGGAGAUCCUUCCUCUUUUGGUUUGCAUACAUCUGUAGGUGUUUCUCAUAGGCAUACUACUUUAACACAGAGUAUGGAUCAUCUUGGACUUUCCCAUAAUUAUGAUCAUCCCCCAUCGCCAAAUUUAUGGGCAUCACAGGCUGUAGGUGGGGUGAACCCGAGGAGCAUGGACGUUGGUAGAGGACUGACUUCUGUUCAAGGUGGCGUAGAAUUUGGCAGGUUUGUAGUGCACACAGCUCUCUAAAUACCCUAUGAUAACACAUGGCAUGACCAAUGAGAAUGGGAUGGGACCUCACUAUAAUUAGGUUCCAAGGAUGAUUUAUGUCUUCUACAAAGAUGAGGAUGAUGAAUUCUCAGCCAUUUUAUUUUAAAC
Non-coding RNA from Camellia sinensis, 562 nucleotides. NCBI's taxonomy places the organism in Eukaryota, Viridiplantae, Streptophyta, Magnoliopsida, Ericales, Theaceae. The record is from RefSeq and is a predicted model, not a curated record.